GGGAAGUUUUCCGUCAAUGGGCGAAAGCCUGACGGAGCAAUGCCGCGUGGAGGUGGAAGGCCUACGGGUCGUCAACUUCUUUUCUCGGAGAAGAAACAAUGACGGUAUCUGAGGAAUAAGCAUCGGCUAACUCUGUGCCAGCAGCG
This 146-nucleotide ribosomal RNA is filed under the name uncultured bacterium. RNAcentral describes it as "partial 16S rRNA". It matches the Rfam family "Bacterial small subunit ribosomal RNA", at positions 356 to 516 of the family's 1533-position model. The record is from RNAcentral.